UCGCAAGACCUCGCGCAAUUUGGAGGCCGGCCGAUCGCCCGAUUAGCUAGUUGGUGAGUAAAGGCUCACCAAGGCGACGAUCGGUAGCUGGUCUGAGAGGACGACCAGCCACACUGGGACUGAGACACGGCCCAGACUCCUACGGGAGGCAGCAGGUGGGGAAUUUUGGACAAUGGGGGCAACCCUGAUCCAGCCAUGCCGCGUGCAGGAUGAAGGCCUUCGGGUUGUAAACUGCUUUUGUCAGGGACGAAAAGGACCGUGUUAAUACCAUGGUCUGCUGACGGUACCUGAAGAAUAAGCACCGGCUAACUACGUG
This 316-nucleotide ribosomal RNA is filed under the name uncultured bacterium. RNAcentral's name for it is "bacterial SSU rRNA". It matches the Rfam family "Bacterial small subunit ribosomal RNA", at positions 186 to 507 of the family's 1533-position model. The record is from RNAcentral.